AGCGAACGCUGGCGGCAGGCUUAACACAUGCAAGUCGAACGGGCUUCUUCGGAAGUCAGUGGCAGACGGGUGAGUAACACGGGGGAACGUGCCCUUCGGUUCGGAAUAACUCAGGGAAACUUGAGCUAAUACCGGAUACGCCCUUUUGGGGAAAGGUUUACUGCCGAAGGAUCGGCCCGCGUCUGAUUGUCUUGUUGGUGGGGUAACGGCCUACCAAGGCGACGAUCAGUAUCUGGUCUGAGAGGAUGAUCAGCCACACUGGGGCUGAGACACGGCCCAGAAUCCUACGGGAGGGAGCAGUGGGGAAUAUUGGACAAUGGGCGCAAGCCUGAUCCAGCCAUGCCGCGUGAGUGAUGAAGGCCUUAGGGUUGUAAAGCUCUUUUGUCCGGGACGAUAAUGACGGUACCGGAAGAAUAAGCCCCGGCUAACUUCGUG
This 435-nucleotide ribosomal RNA is filed under the name uncultured bacterium. Its description in RNAcentral is "partial 16S ribosomal RNA". It matches the Rfam family "Bacterial small subunit ribosomal RNA", at positions 29 to 507 of the family's 1533-position model. The record is from RNAcentral.